This is a long non-coding RNA of Mauremys mutica (yellowpond turtle), 547 nucleotides long. RefSeq lists it as uncharacterized. NCBI's taxonomy places the organism in Eukaryota, Metazoa, Chordata, Testudines, Geoemydidae. The transcript has 4 exons. The record is from RefSeq and is a predicted model, not a curated record.
UGGCCAAUCAGGGACCAGGAGGGCCAUAUAAAAAGGAGCAGUAGCAACAAAGUCAGUCACUUGCUGUCUGGAGUUGGAAGAGAUUGGACUUUGUUCCUGGUUGUCUGAAAGAGUAGCAGGACCAUGCACAGCUCAGUGUGGGCAGGGACCGGGGAGCAAAGAAGGAACUUCUGGCUGGCAGGUAGGAUUGAGUCUAGGGAGGGCUGCAGGAAGACAAUGCCUCCAAGGAGGAAAAGCUCAUCAAAACAAGAAAUGUCUCAUUUGGGGUGAAAUCCAUGGGAAACGUUACUGGGCAGAAGGGCAGUGAGAUUUGAACCAAAUAAACAGAAAAAAGAAUGUGGAACAAAGAGUGAAGACAGAGUUGGAGGAGAAAGACAAGGACAGAUAUGUAACAGAAGAAAAAAUGGACUUUGAAUCAAUUUGCAAGAAAUACUCCACCAGAGUGAGAAGUGCAGGCGGAUUUGGUGGGAGUGUCAGCCAUUGACUUACCGCAGUGAAGACACCAUGGAAGGACUGACAAGGCUACAACAACACUGCAAACAGUGGA